CGGACGGGUGAGUAACACGUGGAUAACCUACCUAUAAGACUGGGAUAACUUCGGGAAACCGGAGCUAAUACCGGAUAAUAUAUUGAACCGCAUGGUUCAAUAGUGAAAGACGGUUUUGCUGUCACUUAUAGAUGGAUCCGCGCCGCAUUAGCUAGUUGGUAAGGUAACGGCUUACCAAGGCAACGAUGCGUAGCCGACCUGAGAGGGUGAUCGGCCACACUGGAACUGAGACACGGUCCANACUCCUACGGGAGGCAGCAGCG
RNAcentral lists this ribosomal RNA (263 nucleotides) under uncultured Staphylococcus sp. RNAcentral describes it as "partial 16S ribosomal RNA". It matches the Rfam family "Bacterial small subunit ribosomal RNA", at positions 99 to 356 of the family's 1533-position model. Lineage: Bacteria; Bacillati; Bacillota; Bacilli; Caryophanales; Staphylococcaceae. The record is from RNAcentral.